Molecule: ribosomal RNA, 253 nt
Filed under: uncultured bacterium
Lineage: Bacteria
Description: partial 16S ribosomal RNA
Rfam family: Bacterial small subunit ribosomal RNA
Source: RNAcentral
UACGUAGGGCGCAAGCGUUAUCCGGAAUUAUUGGGCGUAAAGAGCUCGUAGGCGGUUUGUCGCGUCUGCUGUGAAAGACCGGGGCUCAACUCCGGUUCUGCAGUGGGUACGGGCAGACUAGAGUGAUGUAGGGGAGACUGGAAUUCCUGGUGUAGCGGUGAAAUGCGCAGAUAUCGAGAGGAACACCAGUGGCGAAGGCGAGUCCCUGGACACUUCCUGACACUGAGGCACGAAAGCUAGGGGAGCAAACAGG